UCGGGACUGGAAUAAGUAUCAGACCAUGGGACCAGAAAAUUUUUUGAGUUCCCAGAAAGUAUUUCCCCAAGAAAGAAAAAUUGUAAUGAUUUAGAUAAGCGGAAAAAUUCAGAGAAAAAUUCACACCAUCUUAAUGGUGCGAUGGUGUAUAAAUGUAAUAUACUGUGAGUGAUGUAACAAAUAUUGUAUGGCAAAUGCAUUUUUAGCUGAUCUGGGACACUCGAUUUUCAGAAUUUUCUGGGGAGCAUCGAUCACCCUGAUAAUGUCCCCUA
This is a non-coding RNA of Paramuricea clavata, 272 nucleotides long. The record is from the annotation of a GenBank genome assembly. Lineage: Eukaryota; Metazoa; Cnidaria; Anthozoa; Malacalcyonacea; Plexauridae.